GUUUUCGAUACAGCGGGCUACCCGUGGUGUAAAAUGUGUUUAUUUUAAACUGUAUAAUAUGUUCAACGUUCAACUCCCCGCGGGUAGCCUUUUCGCCACCCUACUGAGCAGUUUUCGUUUUUCGUCCAAGUGACUCUCGACCGUUAUCACCAUGUCCGUUUUCCGCCAAAGGUUAUACUCAGAUUUUCGUCAAAAAAAUGAAUAUACUAUUUUAGAUAUUUUUCGAGAACCCCUAUUUACACCGUAUUAGUAUUAGCCAUUGUUAUUAUUACCUAUUUCAUCACGGCCCUGGAAAUCGUUAAUGCGGAAGCUGGUGAAAGCUUCAUUAGUCAAUCGAUACCACGACCGCGUUAGUGAAACUGUACCGACAUUUAUCGGUUUUCAUUUUUUAAUUGAUUAUUUGACUGCGUUAAUUGUGUUUUUUUAUAAUGUCUGAAAUGACAACGAGUACUUGUGGGGGCAAUCAUUGUGCUAAUUUACAAAAAUACAAAUAAGAAACCAUUCGCAUACAUCUCGAUAUUGUGGCAUUACGCGAUGGAGGGCCGGAGGGUUUCACAAGCCUCUGGCGGAAAUGGACGCAUAGUGAUAAUGGUUGAAGUUCAUUUUGACGAGAAACGGUUGCACUGUGCAUACUAUCUUAGGAAAAAAAAAAAAAAAUUAAAAUACAAAAAUAAGAUAACUCGUUGAAAUUAUCACGUUAUUUUCCUAGCACCUAUUGUCACAAUAUUAAGUAUGUUUAUUCUGUACGUACGCAUUUCUGGAAACGGCUACCUGACUAUACGUUGUUAUGAAAAUAAUAAUUCAUAUAAUUAUACACGAUUCCCUCCCUCGUUUACGCGUUAUGUUUUCGAGUUUAACAGUGAAAUGAGAAUAAUAAUAUUUUGUUCGCGAAAUUUCGUACGCGGAAUCCGUUUUCCAGGAGACUUUUGAAUAAUAUUUAAAAAUAAUUGGUCUUUGUAAGCGUAAUAUAACGAUGUUUACUCUGUUUGAAAAUUAUAACGAGUGCAAUAUAAUAUGGAUUACUUUACUCGUGGGAGAAGGGCGGCGCGAGCUACAAACUCAC
Non-coding RNA from Cinara cedri, 1063 nucleotides. The record is from the annotation of a GenBank genome assembly. NCBI's taxonomy places the organism in Eukaryota, Metazoa, Arthropoda, Insecta, Hemiptera, Aphididae.